RNAcentral lists this ribosomal RNA (253 nucleotides) under uncultured bacterium. Its description in RNAcentral is "partial 16S ribosomal RNA". It matches the Rfam family "Bacterial small subunit ribosomal RNA", at positions 524 to 776 of the family's 1533-position model. The record is from RNAcentral.
GACGGAAGGUGCAAGCGUUGCUCGGAAUCACUGGGCGUAAAGGGCGCGUAGGCGGCCGCGCAAGUCUGGUGUGAAAGCCCCGGGCUCAGCCCGGGAAGGGCGCUCGAAACGGCGCGGCUCGAGUGCCGGAGGGGAGAGUGGAAUUCCUGGUGUAGCGGUGAAAUGCGUAGAUAUCAGGAGGAAUACCGGUGGCGAAAGCGGCUCUCUGGACGGCAACUGACGCUGAGGCACGAAAGCGUGGGGAGCAAACAGG